AUUGGACAACCAUGGCUUUCACGGGUAACGGAGGAUUAGGGUUCGAUUCCGGAGAGGGAGCCUGAGAAACGGCUACCACAUCUAAGGAAGGCAGCAGGCGCGUAAAUUACCCAAUCCUGACUCUGGGAGGUAGUGACAAGAAAUAACGGACCGAGGCCUACGGGCUUCGGGAUUGCAAUGAGCCGAAUUUACACCCCUUAGCGAGGAUCAAUUGGAGGGCAAGUCUGGUGCCAGCAGCCGCGGUAAUUCCAGCUCCAAUAGCGUAUAUUAAAGUUGUUGCAGUUAAAAAGCUCGUAGUUGGAUUUCUGGUAGGAUUUCGAAGCCCGCUUGUUGCGUGUGCUGAGAGACCCUAUCAUCCUUCUGUUAACUCUUCGCGUCAUUUAUUUGUCGGUUGAGGGCUCAGAUAUUUUACCUUGAGAAAAUUAGAGUGUUUCAGGCAGGCUCGCGCCGGAAUACAUUAGCAUGGAAUAAUGGAAUAGGACUUUAGCCUCUUCUGUUGGUCUGAGGGGUUGAAGUAAUGAUUAAUAGGGAUAGUUGGGGGCAUUAGUACUUAACUGUCAGAGGUGAAAUUCUCGGAUUUGUUAAAGACUAACUUAUGCGAAAGCAUUUGCCAAGGAUGUUUUCA
This 625-nucleotide ribosomal RNA is filed under the name uncultured marine ciliate. RNAcentral's name for it is "bacterial SSU rRNA". It matches the Rfam family "Eukaryotic small subunit ribosomal RNA", at positions 335 to 972 of the family's 1831-position model. The record is from RNAcentral. Lineage: Eukaryota; Ciliophora.